UGGCGGCGUGCCUAACACAUGCAAGUCGAACGGGAAUCUUCGGAUUCUAGUGGCGGACGGGUGAGUAACGCGUAAGAAUCUAACUUCAGGACGGGGACAACAGUUGGAAACGACUGCUAAUACCCGAUGUGCCGAAAGGUGAAACCUAAUUGGCCUGGAGAAGAGCUUGCGUCUGAUUAGCUAGUUGGUGGGGUAAAGGCCUACCAAGGCGACGAUCAGUAGCUGGUCUGAGAGGAUGAGCAGCCACACUGGGACUGAGACACGGCCCAGACUCCUACGGGAGGCAGCAGUGGGGAAUUUUCCGCAAUGGGCGAAAGCCUGACGGAGCAACGCCGCGUGAGGGAGGAAGGUCCUUGGAUUGUAAACCUCUUUUCUCAAGGAAGAAGUUCUGACGGUACUUGAGGAAUCAGCCUCGGCUAACUCCGUGCCAGCAGCCGCGGUAAUACGGGGGAGGCAAGCGUUAUCCGGAAUUAUUGGGCGUAAAGCGUCCGCAGGUGGUCAGCCAAGUCUGCCGUCAAAUCAGGUUGCUUAACGACCUAAAGGCGGUGGAAACUGGCAGACUAGAGAGCAGUAGGGGUAGCAGGAAUUCCCAGUGUAGCGGUGAAAUGCGUAGAGAUUGGGAAGAACAUCGGUGGCGAAAGCGUGCUACUGGGCUGUAUCUGACACUCAGGGACGAAAGCUAGGGGAGCGAAAGGGAUUAGAUACCCCUGUAGUCCUAGCCGUAAACGAUGGAUACUAGGCGUGGCUUGUAUCGACCCGA
Molecule: ribosomal RNA, 760 nt
Filed under: uncultured cyanobacterium
Lineage: Bacteria; Bacillati; Cyanobacteriota
Description: bacterial SSU rRNA
Rfam family: Bacterial small subunit ribosomal RNA
Source: RNAcentral